RNAcentral lists this long non-coding RNA (261 nucleotides) under Elaeis guineensis (African oil palm). Its description in RNAcentral is "long non-coding RNA (EGUI_LNC054478)". Lineage: Eukaryota; Viridiplantae; Streptophyta; Magnoliopsida; Arecales; Arecaceae. The record is from RNAcentral.
AAUUAAUCCUCCUAUAACUCACUAACUUUUUAGCAAGUUAUAUAAUACAAUAUUUGCAUUAGAUCAAUUAUCAAUCAAAUUAAAAAUCAAAUUCUGUUAUGAUUCAUAAUCAUAAUUCAACCAUCUGAUCAGUCAAAAGCCACUUUUGUAUGUAACCCCAUAGGUUUUAUUCUAUCUAGUAGUGAGAUAUAUUGUGACCUCUAUCACAAUAUCAUUGAACACUUUUCAAUGGUUUGAAAUAAUUCCAACUCAGCCCACCAA